CCUACGGGAGGCAGCAGUGGGGAAUAUUGCGCAAUGGGCGGAAGCCUGACGCAGCGACGCCGCGUGGGGGAUGACGGCCUUCGGGUUGUAAACCUCUUUCAGCUCCGACGAAGCGGAAGUGACGGUAGGAGCAGAAGAAGCACCGGCCAACUACGUGCCAGCAGCCGCGGUAA
RNAcentral lists this ribosomal RNA (173 nucleotides) under uncultured bacterium. RNAcentral's name for it is "partial 16S ribosomal RNA". It matches the Rfam family "Bacterial small subunit ribosomal RNA", at positions 338 to 523 of the family's 1533-position model. The record is from RNAcentral.